GGAGGGGUCGCCUAGUGGCCUAUGGCGCUCGCUUGGAAAGCGAGUUUCCGCGCAAGCGGAUCGAGGGUUCGAAUCCCUCUCCCUCCGCCA
RNAcentral lists this transfer RNA (90 nucleotides) under Candidatus Saccharimonadota bacterium. RNAcentral's name for it is "Candidatus Saccharibacteria bacterium tRNA-Ser". It matches the Rfam family "tRNA". From Rfam's summary of the family: Transfer RNA (tRNA) molecules are approximately 80 nucleotides in length. Their secondary structure includes four short double-helical elements and three loops (D, anti-codon, and T loops). Lineage: Bacteria; Candidatus Saccharimonadota. The record is from RNAcentral.